ACAUCCUGCGGGAGGCAGCAGUGGGGAAUAUUGGACAAUGGGCGCAAGCCUGAUCCAGCCAUGCCGCGUGAGUGAUGAAGGCCCUAGGGUUGUAAAGCUCUUUCACCGGUGAAGAUAAUGACGGUAACCGGAGAAGAAGCCCCGGCUAACUUCGUGCCAGCAGCCGCGGUAAUACGAAGGGGGCUAGCGUUGUUCGGAUUUACUGGGCGUAAAGCGCACGUAGGCGGACUAUUAAGUCAGGGGUGAAAUCCCGGGGCUCAACCCCGGAACUGCCUUUGAUACUGGUAGUCUUGAGUUCGAGAGAGGUGAGUGAAAUUCCGAGUGUAGAGGUGAAAUUCGUAGAUAUUCGGAGGAACACCAGUGGCGAAGGCGGCUCACUGGCUCGAUACUGACGCUGAGGUGCGAAAGCGUGGGGAGCAAACAGGAUUAGAUACCCCAGUAGUCCCAUG
Molecule: ribosomal RNA, 449 nt
Filed under: uncultured organism
Description: partial 16S ribosomal RNA
Rfam family: Bacterial small subunit ribosomal RNA
Source: RNAcentral